Molecule: ribosomal RNA, 253 nt
Filed under: uncultured bacterium
Lineage: Bacteria
Description: partial 16S ribosomal RNA
Rfam family: Bacterial small subunit ribosomal RNA
Source: RNAcentral
UACGUAGGGGCCUAGCGUUGUCCGGAUUUAUUGGGCGUAAAGGGUGCGUAGGCGGUUUGGUAAGUCUGAUGUGAAAUCUAUGGGCUCAACUCAUAGUCUGCAUCGGAAACUGCCGGGCUUGAGUGUGGGAGAGGUGAGUGGAAUUCCUGGUGUAGCGGUGAAAUUCGUAGAUAUUCGGAAGAACACCAGUGGCGAAGGCGACUUACUGGACACAUAUUGACGCUGAGGUGCGAAAGCGUGGGGAGCAAACAGG